UGCCCCUUUUGUCUUAUAGUCUUUGAAUUAAGUGUUACUAAUAAACAAUUUUGAUCUGGGUUUUAUUGGAUGAUAUUAAUUUAUUAGGGAAUUGAAAUGUGUAAGAAACAAUUUGCUUGCUUGCAUUUUGGGUAUGUCAAAUUCUGAUUUUAUAUACUCCUUAAAGAGGGUUCAACGAUUAUAAUUUGAGUGUUCCAUUGUUUCUAGGUUUGUGUAGAGCUUCAAGCUCAGAUCUUUAGGGUUCUUCUAAGCUUGAUUAUUUCUGAUUUUAUUAUUUGGGGGAUUUUGUAGGAAACCCAGAUGUUCAAGAUUGAAUUAAAGAAGAUAUUCUUGAUUGAGUUGUCAAUGUUUGUGCCAAGGUUAAGGUUCUCUGGAGCAAAGGCCACAAACCACAACCUCCACUUCAUCCCCUCUUAAUUAAGGGCAGAAACCUCUACAGAUUGAACACAUUGAGGCGGGCCCACUCUUGUUACAUUUGUCAUGUCAAAGAUGAAAGAAAUAGCUAAGAGGGACGACACUCCUUUGAUGGCUGAUGGUAAACCUGUAGUUGUGAAUGAGCAACAGGUGGAGAAGUUUCUUUACACUACCUUGAAGUUGCUAAGAUACUCAAGAAUGACAGUUGUGGUACUUGUUAGCUUACCGCCACCACCUCCAUUACCCAUCUAUAUUUUAUAUGGAAUACUUGGAUCUUUUGGUGGAAAACAUUCUAAGGCUUUUAACUGUAAGAGGAUACAAGAAAGAUGUGGUCACGUUGUAUACAUAACUUCUUAGAACUCCAAUUUUUGCUAUGGGGAUAAACAUGGUGUACUUAAGGAUCAGAAAAUUUGAAACUACGUAUUUGUUCAUAUCUUCUGUUUUGACAA
This is a long non-coding RNA of Chenopodium quinoa (quinoa), 863 nucleotides long. RefSeq lists it as uncharacterized. Lineage: Eukaryota; Viridiplantae; Streptophyta; Magnoliopsida; Caryophyllales; Amaranthaceae. The record is from RefSeq and is a predicted model, not a curated record. The transcript is spliced from 3 exons.